CAGCAGCCGCGGUAAUACGAAGGUCCCGAGCGUUGUUCGGAAUCACUGGGCGUAAAGGGAGCGUAGGCGGCGCGGUAAGUCAGAUGUGAAAUCCCGGGGCUCAACCCCGGAACUGCAUCCGAUACUGCCGUGCUAGAGGAUUGGAGAGGUAGCUGGAAUUCUCGGUGUAGCAGUGAAAUGCGUAGAGAUCGAGAGGAACACUCGUGGCGAAAGCGAGCUACUGGACAAUAUCUGACGAUGAGGCUCGAAGGCCAGGGUAGCGAAAGGGAUUAGAUACCCCUGUAGUCCUGGCAGUAAACGGUGCACGCUUGGUGUGAGAGGAUUCGACCCCUCUUGUGCCGGAGCUAACGCGUUAAGCGUGCCGCCUGGGAAGUACGGUCGCAAGACUAAAACUCAAAG
RNAcentral lists this ribosomal RNA (399 nucleotides) under uncultured bacterium. RNAcentral describes it as "bacterial SSU rRNA". It matches the Rfam family "Bacterial small subunit ribosomal RNA", at positions 509 to 906 of the family's 1533-position model. The record is from RNAcentral.